CGACCUACGGGGGGCAGCAGUGAGGAAUAUUGGUCAAUGGGCGGAAGCCUGAACCAGCCAAGUCGCGUGAGGGAAUAAGGCCCUACGGGUCGUAAACCUCUUUUGCCGGGGAGCAAGGGCGGGGACGUGUCCCGGCCCGGAGAGUACCCGGAGAAAAAGCAUCGGCUAACUCCGUGCCAGCAGCCGCGGUAAUACGGAGGAUGCGAGCGUUAUCCGGAUUUAUUGGGUUUAAAGGGUGCGCAGGCGGCGUGUCAAGCAAGCGGUAAAAUAGCGGGGCUCAACCCCGUCGAGCCGUUUGAACUGGC
Molecule: ribosomal RNA, 305 nt
Filed under: uncultured bacterium
Lineage: Bacteria
Description: bacterial SSU rRNA
Rfam family: Bacterial small subunit ribosomal RNA
Source: RNAcentral